UUUAGUGGCGAACGGGUGCGUAAUACGUGAGAAUCUGCCUUUAGGAGGAGUAUAACUGUUGGAAACGACUGCUAACACUCCAUAUGUCGAGAGAUGAAAUAAUUUAUUGCCUAAAGAUGAGCUCGCGCCUGAUUAGCUAGUUGGUGAGGUAAUGGCUCACCAAGGCCACGAUCAGUAGCUGGUUUGAGAGAACGAUCAGCCACACUGGGACUGAGACACGGCCCAGACUCCUCCGGGAGGCAGCAGUGAGGAAUUUUCCGCAAUGGGCGAAAGCCUGACGGAGCAAUACCGCGUGAGGGAUGAAGGAUUUUGGUCUGUAAACCUCUUUUCUCAAGAAAGAAGUUCUGACGGUACUUGAGGAAUAAGCAUCGGCUAACUCCGUGCCAGCAGCCGCGGUAAUACGGGGGAUGCAAGCGUUAUCCGGAAUCAUUGGGCGUAAAGCGCCUGUAGGUUGUUUAAUAAGUCUGUUGUUAAAGACUAGGGCUCAACCCUA
RNAcentral lists this ribosomal RNA (493 nucleotides) under uncultured Chrysochromulina. RNAcentral's name for it is "bacterial SSU rRNA". It matches the Rfam family "Bacterial small subunit ribosomal RNA", at positions 91 to 617 of the family's 1533-position model. Lineage: Eukaryota; Haptophyta; Prymnesiales; Chrysochromulinaceae. The record is from RNAcentral.